GCAGGGGCCCUGCGCAACAGUAUGGUGUGAACCCCGUCAGGCCUGGAAAGGAGCAGCGGUAAGCAUUUCUACUGUGUGCCGCAGCAAGUCUUUGCCCG
Molecule: signal recognition particle RNA, 98 nt
Filed under: Nitrospirota bacterium
Lineage: Bacteria; Pseudomonadati; Nitrospirota
Description: Nitrospirae bacterium (sediment metagenome) signal recognition particle sRNA small type
Rfam family: Bacterial small signal recognition particle RNA
About the family: The signal recognition particle (SRP) is a universally conserved ribonucleoprotein involved in the co-translational targeting of proteins to membranes. Archaeal SRP consists of a 7S RNA and homologues of the eukaryotic SRP19 and SRP54 proteins.
Source: RNAcentral